ACUCUCAUUACUCCACUCCUCUGUUAAAGAAAGGGAAAGUUGUGUGGUUUAUUGGGUCAACCAUGGCUCCUUCUGGGAAGGCUUCUGCGUUCUACCGCGAGGGAAACGACUGGUCAUUUGUAAGCUAUAGCUCAUUAACGGGCCUUUGGGCAAUCUCACCCUAUGAAAUUUUAAGGGUCAAAUCUUCAUUUCCAGGCCAGUCUUUGCCAAGAAUGUUUGAGUAAUCGACCAACCUUUUGAGAGCUGAUUCCAGAAAGCUUCCAACGGCUAUUUUUCCAAAUCCCAACGGCUCUAAACGGCUAUAUUUCUCUUGAACUUUGUGGGACACUUAUAUAUACAUGUUAUGGAUGAUCAAGAGAAGGAAAAUGGACGGGAACGAAUUGAAUUGAGCUUACAUUUUAUAUUCAUUUGUAUUUACAAUGUUCUGUGCUUUCAUUAUUAUACUUUUCUCUCUAAGGCUUCGUUCUAUUAUUGUUAAUACAUUCAUUUAAGCCUUGUUAAAUCUUGAGAGACAUUGUAACUAAGAGAUUCAUCUCUUAGAUUCUCUCUUAUUCUAUAUUUCUUAUGCUUCCUAGUUUGUGUAGCUAGAGGGCCCAUUUUGAGUGGAAGGUUUUGUAUUUCCUAGCUAGGUGCUAGAGGGCUUGCUUGUAUAAGUAAGAGGUUGUAAUUCCUAGUCUUGGACUAGAGGAUCUACUUGGUUUAAGUAGGGAGUUUUAGUGGAUAGUUUGAAAAAUCCUUAGUGAGGAGCUAAGGUAGUGGAUUAGGCUUGGUUAAGCCGAACUACUAUAAAUCCUUGUGUUUUCUUAUGCUUGUAUUCUUUGAUAUAUUUAUCUUUUCAAACAUUUCAU
Long non-coding RNA from Diospyros lotus (date-plum), 848 nucleotides. RefSeq lists it as uncharacterized. The transcript has 5 exons. The record is from RefSeq and is a predicted model, not a curated record. Lineage: Eukaryota; Viridiplantae; Streptophyta; Magnoliopsida; Ericales; Ebenaceae.